RNAcentral lists this ribosomal RNA (400 nucleotides) under uncultured bacterium. RNAcentral describes it as "partial 16S ribosomal RNA". It matches the Rfam family "Bacterial small subunit ribosomal RNA", at positions 360 to 776 of the family's 1533-position model. The record is from RNAcentral.
AAUAUUGCACAAUGGGGGAAACCCUGAUGCAGCAACGCCGCGUGAAGGAUGAAGGUUUUCGGAUCGUAAACUUCUUUGACCGGGGACGAACAAAGACGGUACCCGGAAAACAAGCCACGGCUAACUACGUGCCAGCAGCCGCGGUAAUACGUAGGUGGCGAGCGUUGUCCGGAAUUACUGGGUGUAAAGGGCGUGUAGGCGGGAAUGCAAGUCAGAUGUGAAAGCCCGGGGCUCAACCCCGGAUGUGCAUCUGAAACUGUGUUUCUUGAGUGCUGGAGAGGAAAGCGGAAUUCCUAGUGUAGCGGUGAAAUGCGUAGAUAUUAGGAGGAACACCAGUGGCGAAGGCGGCUUUCUGGACAGUAACUGACGCUGAGGCGCGAAAGCGUGGGGAGCAAACAGG